Molecule: small RNA, 35 nt
Filed under: Bombyx mori (domestic silkworm)
Lineage: Eukaryota; Metazoa; Arthropoda; Insecta; Lepidoptera; Bombycidae
Description: ovarian small RNA-14070
Source: RNAcentral
CCUGGAAUCAAUUCUGAAGGAAAGCUGGUGGCUUG